UACAGAGGUGGCAAGCGUUGUUCGGAAUUACUGGGCGUAAAGGGCGCGUAGGCGGUUCGUCAAGUCCUGUGUGAAAUCCCCCGGCUCAACUGGGGAACUUCACAGGAAACUAGCGGGCUUGAGUUCGGGAGAGGGAAGCGGAAUUCCGGGUGUAGCGGUGAAGUGCGUAGAUAUCCGGAGGAACACCGGUGGCGAAGGCGGCUUCCUGGACCGACACUGACGCUGAGGCGCGAAAGCUAGGGGAGCAAACGGG
RNAcentral lists this ribosomal RNA (253 nucleotides) under uncultured bacterium. RNAcentral's name for it is "partial 16S ribosomal RNA". It matches the Rfam family "Bacterial small subunit ribosomal RNA", at positions 524 to 776 of the family's 1533-position model. The record is from RNAcentral.